UGAUAUUCAUACUGUAAAUUGCCUGAUAAACAUAUGUUGUUUCAGAGCCUAUGAACGGAUCGCUACUGGAUACAGUCUAGAAAAUUCACUGAAGAAAGAGUUCAAUCCAAAUGUAUAAAGAACAGUUUACCUGCUUAACAACACAUCAGAGGAAGAUUUGAUUCAUGAACAUUUGCAAACUCGUAGCUGCAAUGGGGAAGGGUUCUUCUCAGCAAAACAUGAGUCUAAAAGCUGUGUUUAUUAUCGAUGUGAGAGAUCAAACAAAGCAAAAGGAAAAUCACAUGGGGACCCAUGCAAAACAAGAACUAAUGGUUGCAAAGCCUAUGUUAGUUUUACAUUCAUUCAUGAAACAUCUUUCAAUGGAUGUGUGGUGCGACUUCAAACUGUUCAUAAUGGUCAUGCUCUAAAAGAUCCUAGUCAGCAAAAAGUGAUUCAAAUUCAUCCUGAACUAUUCACGGUGAUUGAAGCAUAUUUGGCACAAGAUCUCAACUGAUAUACUGUAGGUGUUAGAGCAGCAGAGUGGGCAAAACAGUGAGGGUUUAAUGAUUUACGGGACCGCUGAUACAGUGUCACACCCCGUGAUGUUAAAGUAAUUAAAGAACAAUACGUAUCCAGACAAUACCUGGGUAUUGAUGAUUCCUCUUGUGUGGAUAAAAUGGUAAAAACAGACCUUAAAAACUGUUAUUUUAUCAGCCACUAGCACAGUGCGUCACAGACUCUCAUACUUGUCUUAUCCACUGAAUGACGCUUCAACAGUUACAGAAGCAUGGAAGUGAUUUUUUUAGAUGCUCAAUCGAAGGAGUCUCUGCAUAUUCAUUUGGAAGUGAUUUUUUAGAUGCUCAUACGAAGGAGUCUCUGCAUAUUCAUUUGGAAGUGAUUUUUUAGAUGCUCAUACGAAGGAGUCUCUGCAUAUUCAUUUGGAAGUGAUUUUUUAGAUGCUCAAUCGAAGGAGUCUCUUCAUAUUCAUUUGGAAGUGAUUUUUUAGAUGCUCAUACGAAGGAGUCUCUGCAUAUUCAUUUGGAAGUGAUUUUUUAGAUGCUCAUACGAAGGAGUCUCUGCAUAUUCAUUUGGAAGUGAUUUUUUAGAUGCUCAUACGAAGGAGUCUCUGCACAUUCAUUUGGAAGUGAUUUUUUAGAUGCUCAUACGAAGGAGUCUCUGCAUAUUCAUUUGGAAGUGAUUUUUUAGAUGCUCAAUCGAAGGAGUCUUCAUAUUCAUUUGGAAGUGAUUUUUUAGAUGCUCAUACGAAGGAGUCUCUGCAUAUUCAUUUGGAAGUGAUUUUUUAGAUGCUCAUACGAAGGAGUCUCUGCACAUUCAUUUGCACUGUAUGCCUUGCUGAUUUCAAGUGAAGCAGGCCGUGGUGUUCCUGUUGCUUUUUUCAUUUUAAGUGAAGAAAAUACAGAAAAUCUGGCAUUGUGUCUCUGCAAAGUGAGAGAUGCCCUAAAUGGUUUCACACCCAGGAUGAAGAAUACUGACUCUGUAUACUGAUUGGCUGGGUGCCAUUGCAGGAUGAAGAAUACUGACUCUAUAUACUGAUUGGCUGGGUGCCAUUGCAGGAUGAAGAAUACUGACUCUAUAUACUGAUUGGCUGGGUGCCACUGCAGGAUGAAGAAUACUGACUCUAUAUACCGAUUGGCUGGGUGUCAUUGCAGGAUGAAGAAUACUGACUCUAUAUACCGAUUGGCUGGGUGUCAUGGCUAUGUUGGAAUCAUGGCCUUAUAUUCCAUCCUUACGUGCUGGAUGUGUGAUGAUCGACAAAGAUCAAAAAGAAGUAAAUGCAGCAAGGGAUGUGUUUCCUGGUGUUCUCCUCCUUUGCUGGUUUCAUGUACUACAGGUACACACAGGAAUGUGUCAUUAGAUGGUUGGUCCGGUGGGAUGGAGGAAACUUAAAUGUCUCAGAUAGAAAUGAAGUGAUCUGAUCUAUGAUUAGAUUAAAACAAUGUAACACUGUAAGUAGUGUGACAGAAAUAUAAUGAGUUUUGAUUGUAAAUCUCCCUCCCGACCUGUGAGGGCGCUAAGCAGCGAAAGUAGAGUUCUUUGGAUGGGCUGGCCUGACAGUUCUUUCCCCGGGCAGGGAAGUCGGUCAGUCUGGAAGGCGAUGAGACUCUGUUGCAGGAGCGUAUUGACCCGGAAGAGAAACGACAUAGCAGCUGCAGAUAGUAGAGACAGCUGCAAUCGUUUACCAAGGGGUCAUGCGUGAUAGCAUAAAAGGGGACAGGGAAUCACAAUCUACUUCUUUGCUUGGUUUGAGAGACAAGGAACUGGAAGGACCGGAAGAAACCUCUAAAAAUAAGAUAAAUAAUUUGUGAGUGUUUUGUUUGUUUUGUCGCUGUUAGUAAUUGCCUUUUUUUUUUUGUAAAUCACUGGAUGGCUAACACGUCUCCGGAGCUGUCGCCUUGGGCCAGCACUACCUGGAGCAACACUCCACCACAGUCACUGUUUAAUUGUUAUCACCCACCACGAGCACUACUGCAUGCACCCGGACUGGUGACCAUGUAUUGUAUUAUUGUGGGGCGGAUAACGUGUCUUUAUUAUUUGGACUACAAUCCAUUUAUUAUUGGUGUGUAUUGCCAGAGGUUUAUUAUUGGUGUGUAUUGCCAGAGGCUUAUUAUUGGUGUGUAUUGCCGGAGGAUUAUUGUUUGGUCGCCA
Acipenser ruthenus (sterlet) is the source of this 2646-nucleotide long non-coding RNA. RefSeq lists it as uncharacterized. The record is from RefSeq and is a predicted model, not a curated record. NCBI's taxonomy places the organism in Eukaryota, Metazoa, Chordata, Actinopteri, Acipenseriformes, Acipenseridae. The transcript is spliced from 3 exons.